UAUGCCACACUCACUUCUGUGGACUGCU
RNAcentral lists this non-coding RNA (28 nucleotides) under Homo sapiens (human). Lineage: Eukaryota; Metazoa; Chordata; Mammalia; Primates; Hominidae. The record is from RNAcentral.